RNAcentral lists this ribosomal RNA (446 nucleotides) under uncultured low G+C Gram-positive bacterium. RNAcentral's name for it is "bacterial SSU rRNA". It matches the Rfam family "Bacterial small subunit ribosomal RNA", at positions 1085 to 1533 of the family's 1533-position model. The record is from RNAcentral. Lineage: Bacteria; Bacillati; Bacillota.
UCCAUACGAGCGCACCCUUAUUGUUAGUUGCCAGCAUUCAGUUGGGCACUCUAGCGAGACUGCCGGUGAUAAACCGGAGGAAGGUGGGGAUGACGUCAAAUCAUCAUGCCCCUUAUGAGCUGGGCUACACACGUGCUACAAUGGACGGUACAACGAGUUGCGAUCCCGCAAGGGUUAGCGAACCUUUAUAAGCCGUUCUCAGUUCGGAUUGCUCUCCGCAACUCGAGAGCAUGAAGCCGGAAUCGCUAGUAAUCGCGGAUCAGAACGCCGCGGUGAAUACGUUCCCGGGUCUUGUACACACCGCCCGUCACACCACGAGAGUUCGUAACACCCGAAGCCGGUGGAGCAACCCCUUGGGGAGCUAGCCGUCGAAGGUGGGAUGGAUGAUUGGGGUGAAGUCGUAACAAGGUAGCCGUAUCGGAAGGUGCGGCUGGAUCACCUCCUUU